GUUCAUCAAUAUGGGUAAGUAUUUAAUAUAAGAAUAAUUAUUUGCUUUCAGGAAUUUAUUCGAUUUGGCUGGGACCUUGUUGAAGGGAGGUUAAUACUGCUACUGUAGUUAAGGUGGAUAGGUGAUGUGUGUAAUAUUAGAAAAGUAGCAUCACUUUAAAGUGUAAUAUCACAUUAACGUCCCCCACCGCGAUCCAAAUAUCACUUAAUAUUACAACAUCAUUUAAUAUCACUCCACACUAAUUAAUGGAAGAGGGAACACUCCACCACUCGUGACCAGGAAUACCCUGAUGAACGGGCAGAUAAAAAAUUGGAAUGUGUCGAAGAAGCCUUCUAUCUCGGAUCAUAAUAUAAUCAGAUUCGGCAUUGAGGGAAUAAUAAGGAAUCUCAGGAUAACGGAUUGGGACUACUAUGCAAUGCACUUGAGCAACAACAUGGCUCUUCUACAAAGGGGAGGUGAUAGCAGGAGUGAACUGGAAUUUGAAACAGUGGUGGAAGACCUGAAGAAGGUCGUCAUUGAUGCAUAUGUCCGGCUGACAGUUAAAUCAUCAAGGGUACCCUGGAAGAACAGGAACCUAGCCAGAAUUAGAACAGAGGACCGAAAACUCUUCGACCUGUAAAACAAACCGGAGAGUGGCUGAAUUUCAAAAAUAGAUUGACUGCGUAAAGCAACGCGAUCGGGGAAGCAAAAGGAAACAGCUUCAGGGAAUUAUUAAGGGAUAGAACAAACCACAGAAGCAACCAGGCUAUACAAAGUAAUAGAAAAAGACAAUAUCAUCCGUCUGUCUAAAGUAGGAAGUUGGGAUAUUUACGGAGAAUGAGGAGGAUAGAGUACAUCCGCUUUACAGAACUCAUUUCCCGGAGUCCUACCCUACAACGAAACGCGACAACAUUCUGCAUGACAUCCCAACAACGAAUAACUGGUGGGCAGUGGGAAUCUUUAAACCACUGAAAUCACCCGGAGUAGUUGGCAUCCUCCCAGCCCUACUCCAAAGAAAUCAUCUUAGAGUCUCUUCUAAGAAUCAGCAUAGCCUUAGGAUAUAUACUAAGGGCAAGGAGGCAAAAUCUCUCUACCUAACAUAGUUCCUACUCAAAACAACUAUAUUAGAACUAACGUUCUAGUACGCAUUCCGCUACAUCAAUGUCAACACACAACGGUGAACCGGAACUACAAGGUAUCAACUGACGGAUGUAUUACGGGAUGCCAUUGAAACAAAAGAAAUAGCACUGCGUGCGUUUUUGGAUAUCGAAAGAGCGUUAGAUAACACAUCGAACACAGAGAUAGAAGAUGCUCUGAUCCGCAAUGAAGGGAGAAACACCCUAGCCUUGUGGACGGACAGAAUGUUAGAGAGUAGGCAAAUAGGAGAACUGACAGGUACAAAUUCUAUUGUCAUGAAUACUGCUCAAGGUUGUCCACAAGCUGAGGUACUAUUACCGCUUAUGUGGAUUAUCGUAGCAAAUGAACUCUUAGGAGAGCUAACAAAUAUGGGAAUACAAGUCCAGGGUUAUGCUGACGACAUUGUUUUAAUCUGUAAGAGCAGAUAUGAGUUUACCUUAUGUUAUGUGAUAUGUCCAAACUGGACUAAGAGUUACUAGUACCUAGUGUAGGAAAGCGGGGUUGGGCAUCGAUCCAGCCAUAGUACCAUUCACUAGGAAGCGCAAGCUUGAUCAACUGAGAGUCAUUAGGUUACGUGGUAUGGUAGUGAAACGUGAAUCGAAGGUUAACUAUUUGUGAAUUAAUCAAAAAUUACCCUGGAAACCUAUGUCGAAAAGCUACGAGCGCUCUGAUGCUUUGCAAGUCCACAGCAGAGAAAAAAUGGGGAUGCACCCCGAAAAUGCUGCACUGGAUAUAAACUGCAGUUCGGGCAGAAAGAACUAAAUUCAGUACAACAGGCAGGGAGUUACACAAACUUCAAAAACUGACUUACGUACGUAUUAGUGGAGUAAUGAGGUCAUGCCUAACGGCAUCCCUGGAGGUCUUUUUGGGAUUAACUCCGCUUCGUGUGCACAUAAAAAUGCAGGCGAGAAGCGCCAUCUUGAGAAUGUUCGGGAGCAUCAGUGAGGCGGGAAGCUGUCUAAAUCGAAGGAAAACUGAUACUAUUUUAAGGCGGCAUCCUGAAUUGCUGUGUUCAGAUAAUUGAAAGAUUAGAGCACAAGACUCUUGUAUGGAAGGUCGUGGUUCAAAUCUCACUGGUGACAGUGGGGUUUGUAUCGUGAUUUGACGUCGGAUACCAGUCGCCUCAGCUAUGAAUGAGUACCUGAGCCCAAUCAGGGUAAUUAUCUUCUAUAUCCUAUAGGGUACUAUAAUCCUGUAGUAUACCGUUACGGUCUUGAAUGAAGUGCUUUAACACACUUCAAUACCCUGAGCCAAUUGGAAUGUUGGGUCAACGAUUAUUAUUAUUAUUCCGAAUUACUGAUAACAAGGGAUAACUUGGCAAGGAGGUUUUAUUUCCAUAAGGAUUUUGGAGUUGGAGUGAAAGGGCAAAUUGGAAGAGUCUGGCAGUGAAAUACGCAUUAAAUCAGCAACUGAUUACCUGGUAUACUGACGGAUCCAUUGCAGCAGAGGCUGCAGGCCCCGGGUCAUUGGUUCAAGAAAAAUGUACUUUGAACCAAUGAGCAAGCACGCUAGUAUAUUCCAGGCGGAAAUAUAUUCCACAGACAGAUGUGCCCCCCUCAAACUCCAAAGGAAUUACAGGGGGCAGAACACUACUACUCUGACCGACAACCACGUGGCGGUCAAAGCACUUAGGCCAAACCAGAUGAACUCCAAACGCUGUAGGUAUUCCUUAAGAGACUUAACACGCUCGGUUUGCACAAUAAGACCUAGAUAACCUAGGUUCUAGACAGUGUUGUAUUGGAACGUAAUGAGGCAGUGAAGAAACUGACCAGGAAAUUAUCACGGACGCCUCUACAUGGACCAGAACUUUUCAGUGGAAUCAGACGCGGGUUCUUGGAUAUGGCAUUAAAAAAUGAAGAGGAACGGCUGGGGGAAUUUUGCUAUCAGGAAUGGAGAAUCUAGGUUUACUCAUGGCGGGGGAUAGGAAUCCAAGCGCUCAAACGACUGUUCAAACCGUACCAAGAAGAAUAUCUGGAUUAAAGUGGGAAUACUCACUGGCCACUGUCGACUAAAGUAGCACUUGGGAAAACUAGGUAUAUCUAUGAACUCUGCCUGUAGAUUCUGUCCAGAGUGCUCCAUACACGUUUUGGGAUAGUGUUCGGCACUUGUGCAAAGUAGGUGGAGGCACCUGGGAGAAUACGCAACACCUGUUGGAAUACUUGGAAGUAAGAAAUAUAUUAAAUUUUCUGUCGAUUAUAAGGUUGCUUGUUCUUAUAGAACGAAGUGCAACUUGGAUUAACGGAAUAAUAAAUAUCACUCUAUCACCACCUGGUAGAGAAUUUAUAAUUAUAUAGCUAUCGUGGCAAGUAAUAUUUAUAAUAUCGGUGCCAAUGUGAUAUUGUAUCAUAAGACAUCAUCAUCGAAUAAUAUUUUAACACGUUUGAUGCAAAUGUAGGCUGCUGAUCAUCUAUAAGAAUCAUGAUUGCCUGUUCUCGCAUGUAGAAAUAUCUUAUCCUUUUCAUUUGCACGAAAGAAAGUUCACUCUUCUUUCUAGGUAAUGAACUAAAUUGUACAUUUUGUGCUACGAAUGUGAUAAAAACAGGAAAUAAUCACUGUAGGAAUAAGUAAUAUUUGGUAAUAACGUCCGCCGAGAGUCAGUAUGUAACAUAACAUCAUAUGUAUGGUUAGGAUAAUGAAACGUGAUGUUUGUGAUAUUACUUCGUAAUAUAAUGCUUAUGUUGUUUGAUCUCCUUCAUUAUUGGAAUCAUCUAGGUCAUCUUUAAAUUUUGGAUUUCAUUCGUGCACAACAUUGUUGUUCCUAAAGUUUUUUACUCGCUCAGCUUAUUCAGAUGAAUCUCUACUGUGUUAUACCCCCGCAAAAUAGUGUUUUGUAAGUUGCAUUUGGCGCUUACUCGCCAUGUUUAUAUGAUUGCUUCGCAAUAGAGACUGGUAUUUUGAAAUUCUUAGUGGUGUACUGAGCUCAAUGCCUCUUGUCUGGCGUUUAUGCUAUGAAUCAGAAGUUGAAAAAUAAAAAAAUAUAUCUUUUAA
RNAcentral lists this long non-coding RNA (4104 nucleotides) under Hermetia illucens (black soldier fly). RNAcentral's name for it is "uncharacterized LOC119658517". Lineage: Eukaryota; Metazoa; Arthropoda; Insecta; Diptera; Stratiomyidae. The record is from RNAcentral.